Molecule: ribosomal RNA, 1098 nt
Filed under: Pirellulales bacterium
Lineage: Bacteria; Pseudomonadati; Planctomycetota; Planctomycetia; Pirellulales
Description: bacterial SSU rRNA
Rfam family: Bacterial small subunit ribosomal RNA
Source: RNAcentral
CAAUUGAAGGGUUUGAUCCUGGCUCAGAAUGAACGUUGGCGGCGUGGAUUAGGCAUGCAAGUCGAGCGCGAAACCCCGCAAGGGGUGGAAAGCGGCGAAAGGGACAGUAACACGUGGAUUAUCUACCCCUCGGUCUGGGAUAGCUGCGGGAAACUGCAGGUAAUACCAGAUGAUGUCUUCGGACCAAAGGUGUGAUUCCGCCGAGGGAUGAGUCCGCGUCCUAUUAGCUAGUUGGUAGGGUAACGGCCUACCAAGGCCAUGAUGGGUAGCGGGUGUGAGAGCAUGACCCGCGUCACUGGGACUGAGAUACUGCCCAGACACCUACGGGUGGCUGCAGUCGAGGAUCUUCGGCAAUGGGCGCAAGCCUGACCGAGCGACGCCGCGUGUGGGAUGAAGGCUUUCGGGUUGUAAACCACUGUCGGAGGGGAUGAAAUGCCCUGGGGUUCUCCCCAGGGUUUGACAUAGCCUCAAAGGAAGUACGGGCUAAGUUCGUGCCAGCAGCCGCGGUAAGACGAACCGUACGAACGUUAUUCGGAAUCACUGGGCUUAAAGGGUGCGUAGGCGGCGCGGAAAGUUGGGUGUGAAAGCCCUCGGCUCAACCGAGGAAUUGCGCCCAAAACUACCGUGCUUGAGUGAGAUAGAGGUGAGCGGAACUUAGGGUGGAGCGGUGAAAUGCGUUGAUAUCCUAAGGAACACCGGUGGCGAAAGCGGCUCACUGGAUCUUUUCUGACGCUGAGGCACGAAAGCUAGGGGAGCAAACGGGAUUAGAUACCCCGGUAGUCCUAGCUGUAAACGAUGAGCACUGGGUUGGAGGGUCCUCCAUAGCCUUCCAGCCGUAGCGAAAGUGUUAAGUGCUCCGCCUGGGGAGUAUGGUCGCAAGGCUGAAACUCAAAGGAAUUGACGGGGGCUCACACAAGCGGUGGAGGAUGUGGCUUAAUUCGAGGCUACGCGAAGAACCUUAUCCUGGUCUUGACAUGUACGGAUUAACCCUACGAAAGUAGGGCCACGCCCUUCGGGGUGGAACGUGCACAGGUGCUGCAUGGCUGUCGUCAGCUCGUGUCGUGAGAUGUCGGGUUAAGUCCCUUAACGAGCGAAACC